AUUUACCUCAUCCCAGCUGGGUAUAAAAGGGGCUGGGAAGGCGUGAGGCUUCCUCAGCUCCCAGGGCAGGUGGGUGAGGAGGAGGCACCAGAGGGGUCAUGGCAGCUUUCCUGCUCUUGGCACCACUGCUCCUGCUGGGGACGGUGGCUGGCCAGGCAGAGACAGAGCUGGAGGAGUGCCUUUGGCCCUGGAAUGUGACUGAAGGGAAUUUCUCUGUGGAAACAACACCUGGGACUUACCAGGCCAACACAACCUACCUGGUGACCAUAAAGGACGACAGGAACCACAGCAACAGCUCGGGGCAGCUCCUGCUGCAGGCCUUGUCCCCCCAGAACACCUCGGUGGGGCAGUGGCAGGAUGCAGCCACAGGGCUGUGCAACUCUGUGCUCACAGCAGUGCUGAACAUCUCUGAGAGCACGGCCCACUGGACAUCCCCCAGCAGCAACCUCUCCUCUGUGCAGAUCAGGGUCUAUCUCAGCCUCCCUGGUAACAUCACCGAGCUCAAGACCUGGAUGCUGACCAGAGGGGCAGACACCACCCCGGUGCCCCCCAGCACCACGCUGGCCCCCAGCCCCACUGCCAGCUGGGGGAGCAGGGCUCAGGGCAGCUCCUGGCUCCUGCCUGCCCUGCUGCUGCUGCUGCUCUCCUAGAGGGGCCCCAGCUGGGCUGCCCUGCUCAGGAACCCGGGGCUGGGCUGAAUUACUCAGGAGAACUGUUCCUUGCUGUGAGAAAUGCACAGGAAAUGAGGAAGGUUUGUGUGACACCCGGCUGAUCGUCCCCUGCUGCCCUCGCCCACAAGCUCAGCAGAAGGAAAUUCCCCCAGCAGAGAUCCCUCUGCCCCUCUGGGGGAUCUCUCUGCCCUUCUUCUGAUCCCUCUGCCCCUCUGGGGGAUUCCUCUGCCCUUCUUCUGAUCCCUCUGCCCCUCUGGGGGAUCCCUCUGCCCCUCUACUGAUCCCUCUGGCUUUUCUGACCCAAAAAUGGGCGAGCAGAGCCCAUGGAACACGGGCACUCAUGAAUCCAUGAUUUCCUCAUCGCCUGGCAUUGUGUGAAGCACAAAAAGCCUGAAGGGAGGAGAAUCCUUCUCCUUCUCCUUCUCCUUCUCCUUCUCCUUCUCCUUCUCCUUCUCCUUCUCCUUCUCCUUCUCCUUCUCCUUCUCCUUCUCCUUCUCCUUCUCCUUCUCCUUCUCCUUCUCCUUCUCCUUCUCCUUCUCCUCCUCCUCCUCCCCUCUGCCUUUGCCCCAUCCCCUCCCAGGAGCAGAGCUGACCCUGCCAAGGGAAAUCCUGCUCAGAGCCCCCGGCCCUCCAGGCUGAGCCCUGGGUGCUGCCCAGGACAGGCUGCAGAGCCCCCACCAAGCCCAGGAAUUUCUGCUCCAGGUCCAAAACCCCCUCAGUUUUGUUCUUCCAGCAGAUGACAAAGUUUCUCUCUGUUUUCCCUCUAUUUUUUUUCCCUGGAAAGGCAAGAUGGGCAUUUUGUGUUCCUCUUUUAUUAUUUUUUUUUAAUCAACAGCUGAUUUUGCUGUAGGACAAGAUUAUUGUGUGGGGGCCAGUGGAUGCCUUGAUUUUAUUAUUGUUUGUAUUUUUAUAUGGGCAAAAUGUGUAUGUAGAAAUUUUCCAACUUGUGAGAAGCAUUUUUUUUUUCUUAAACCAAUCUAAAUAAAAUAAGGAAUUAAAAU
Molecule: long non-coding RNA, 1672 nt
Filed under: Serinus canaria (Common canary)
Lineage: Eukaryota; Metazoa; Chordata; Aves; Passeriformes; Fringillidae
Description: lncRNA (ENSSCAG00000007680.1)
Source: RNAcentral